GCCAGCAGCCGCGGUAAUUCCUAGGGUGCGANNGUUGUCCGGAAUUAUUGGCCGUAAAGANCUUGUAGNCGGUCUGUCGNGUNUGCUGNGAAAACCCGAGGCUCAACCUNGGGCCUGCAGUGGGUAUGGGCAGANUAGAGUGCGGUAGGGGAGAAUGGAAUUCCUGGUGUAGCGGUGGAAUGCGCAGAUAUCAGGAGGAACACCGAUGGCGAAGGCAGUUCUNUGGGCCGUAACUGACGNUGAGGAGCGAAAGCGUGGGGAGCGAACAGGAUUAGAUACCCUGGUAGUCCACGCCGUAAACGUUGGACGCNAGAUCAAGGACCAUUACAU
RNAcentral lists this ribosomal RNA (330 nucleotides) under uncultured bacterium. RNAcentral's name for it is "partial 16S ribosomal RNA". It matches the Rfam family "Bacterial small subunit ribosomal RNA", at positions 507 to 836 of the family's 1533-position model. The record is from RNAcentral.